RNAcentral lists this ribosomal RNA (471 nucleotides) under uncultured bacterium. RNAcentral describes it as "bacterial SSU rRNA". It matches the Rfam family "Bacterial small subunit ribosomal RNA", at positions 9 to 501 of the family's 1533-position model. The record is from RNAcentral.
GAGUUUGAUCUUGGCUCAGCCUGAACGCUGGCGGCGUGGCUAAGACAUGCAAGUCGAACGGGGCCGUAGCAAUACGGUCCAGUGGCGGACGGGUGAGUAAAGUAUCGCUAACGUACCCCUGGGUCUGGGAUAGCCGUGGGAAACCGCGGGUAAUACCAGAUGACGUGGCCUGGUGGCAUCACCGGGACCCCAAAGGUCGCAAGGCCGCCGAGGGCGCGGGCGAUAUCGUAUCAGCUUGUUGGCGGGGUAACGGCCCACCAAGGCGAUGACGCGUAGCUGGUCUGAGAGGACGGCCAGCCACAUCGGGACUGAGACACUGCCCGGACUCCUACGGGGGGCUGCAGUACGAAUCUUCCGCAAUGCACGCAAGUGUGACGGAGCGACGCCGCGUGUGGGACGAAGUCCUUCGGGAUGUAACCACUGUCAGGGGUUACCAAGUUACUGAGGAGCCCAGAGGAAGGCACGGCUAAC